This 492-nucleotide ribosomal RNA is filed under the name uncultured bacterium. RNAcentral's name for it is "partial 16S ribosomal RNA". It matches the Rfam family "Bacterial small subunit ribosomal RNA", at positions 29 to 507 of the family's 1533-position model. The record is from RNAcentral.
AGUGAACGCUUGCGGUAGGCCUAACACAUGCAAGUCGAACGGCAGCACAGUAAGAGCUUGCUCUUACGGGUGGCGAGUGGCGGACGGGUGAGGAAUACAUCGGAAUCUACUUUUUCGUGGGGGAUAAUGUAGGGAAACUUACGCUAAUACCGCAUACGACCUACGGGUGAAAGCAGGGGAUCUUCGGACCUUGCGCGAUUGAAUGAGCCGAUGUCGGAUUAGCUAGUUGGCGGGGUAAAGGCCCACCAAGGCGACGAUCCGUAGCUGGUCUGAGAGGAUGAUCAGCCACACUGGAACUGAGACACGGUCCAGACUCCUACGGGAGGCAGCAGUGGGGAAUAUUGGACAAUGGGCGCAAGCCUGAUCCAGCCAUACCGCGUGGGUGAAGAAGGCCUUCGGGUUGUAAAGCCCUUUUGUUGGGAAAGAAAAGCAGCAGGUUAAUACCCCGCUGUUCUGACGGUACCCAAAGAAUAAGCACCGGCUAACUUCGUG